Molecule: ribosomal RNA, 1545 nt
Filed under: uncultured bacterium
Lineage: Bacteria
Description: bacterial SSU rRNA
Rfam family: Bacterial small subunit ribosomal RNA
Source: RNAcentral
GAGAGUUUGAUCAUGGCUCAGGAUGAACGCUGGCGGCGUGCCUAACACAUGCAAGUCGAACGGUUGAGUACUUGACUUUUAGUUACUUAUAAAAAAAUGAUAAGUGAUUAAAAGUUGAGUACUCGAUAGUGGCGGACGGGUGAGUAACGCGUAAGUAAUCAACCUGUGACACACGGAUAACUGAUAGAAAUGUCAGCUAAUACGAGAUGAACUGUUUAAAUUGGGAAAUGGAAACAGCAAAGCGAAAGCGGUCACAGACGAGCUUGCGUCUGAUUAGCUAGUUGGUGGGGUAAGAGCCUACCAAGGCGACGAUCAGUAGCCGGCCUGAGAGGGUGAACGGCCACAUUGGAACUGGGACACGGUCCAAACUCCUACGGGAGGCAGCAGUGGGGGAUAUUGCACAAUGGGGGGAACCCUGAUGCAGCAACGCCGCGUGAGUGAAGAAGGCCUUAGGGUCGUAAAGCUCUGUCGUAUGGGAAGAAACAAAUGACUGUACCAUACAAGAAAGCCCCGGCUAACUACGUGCCAGCAGCCGCGGUAAUACGUAGGGGGCAAGCGUUAUCCGGAAUUACUGGGCGUAAAGGGUGCGUAGGCGGCUAGUUAAGUCGAGGUUAAAAGGCAGUAGCUCAACUAUUGUUGGGCCUUGAAACUAAUUAGCUUGAGUAUAGGAGAGGAAAGUGGAAUUCCCGGUGUAGCGGUGAAAUGCGUAGAUAUCGGGAGGAAUACCGGUGGCGAAGGCGACUUUCUGGACUAUAACUGACGCUGAGGCACGAAAGCGUGGGUAGCAAACAGGAUUAGAUACCCUGGUAGUCCACGCCGUAAACGAUGAACACUAGGUGUCGGGAGGAAUUUCGGUGCCGGCGCAAACGCAAUAAGUGUUCCGCCUGGGGAGUACGUUCGCAAGAAUAAAACUCAAAGGAAUUGACGGGGACCCGCACAAGUAGCGGAGCAUGUGGUUUAAUUCGAAGCAACGCGAAGAACCUUACCUAAGCUUGACAUGGGGAUGAAAAGCAAUGUAAAGAUGUAAUGAUACUUUCGGGUAUACAUCCCACACAGGUGGUGCAUGGUUGUCGUCAGCUCGUGUCGUGAGAUGUUGGGUUAAGUCCCGCAACGAGCGCAACCCCUAUUGAUAGUUGCCAGUGCGUUAUGGUAGGCACUCUAUCAAGACAGUUAUGGAUAACAUAAAGGAAGGUGGGGAUGACGUCAAAUCAUCAUGCCCCUUAUGCUUAGGGCUACACACGUGCUACAAUGGCUGUAACAAAGAGAAGCAAGGUCGUAAGGCGGAGCAAACCUGAAAAAAACAGUCCAAGUUCGGAUUGUGGGCUGAAACUCGCCCACAUGAAGUCGGAGUUACUAGUAAUCACGAAUCAGAAUGUCGCGGUGAAUGCGUUCCCGGGUCUUGUACACACCGCCCGUCACACCAUGGGAGCUGAGGGUACCCAAAGUCAGUGAUCUAACGUAAGAAGAAGCUGCCUAAGGUAAACUUAGUGACUGGGGUGAAGUCGUAACAAGGUAGCCGUAUCGGAAGGUGCGGCUGGAUCACCU